This 22-nucleotide microRNA is filed under the name Pongo pygmaeus (Bornean orangutan). RNAcentral describes it as "ppy-miR-1914". The record is from miRBase by way of RNAcentral. Lineage: Eukaryota; Metazoa; Chordata; Mammalia; Primates; Hominidae.
CCCUGUGCCCGUCCCACUUCUG